ACCCGAAAAACCUCACCAGGUCUUGACAUGCUUUUGCAAAGCUGUAGAAAUACAGUGGAGGUUAUCAGAAGCACAGGUGGUGCAUGGUUGUCGUCAGCUCGUGUCGUGAGAUGUUGGGUCAAGUCCCGCAACGAACGCAACCCUUGUUGUUAAUUGCCAUCAUUAAGUUGGGGACUUUAGCAAGACUGCCAAUGAUAAAUUGGAGGAAGGUGGGGACGACGUCAAAUCAUCAUGCCCCUUAUGACCUGGGCUACAAACGUGAUACAAUGGCUGUUACAAAGGGUAGCUAAAGCGUAAGCUUCUGGCGAAUCUCAAAAAAGCAGUCUCAGUUCGGAUUGAAGUCUGCAACUCGAUUUCAUGAAGUUGGAAUCGCUAGUAAUCGCGAAUCAGCAUGUCGCGGUGAAUACGUUCUCGGGGUUU
Molecule: ribosomal RNA, 420 nt
Filed under: Candidatus Phytoplasma solani
Lineage: Bacteria; Bacillati; Mycoplasmatota; Mollicutes; Acholeplasmatales; Acholeplasmataceae
Description: bacterial SSU rRNA
Rfam family: Bacterial small subunit ribosomal RNA
Source: RNAcentral